Non-coding RNA from Podarcis lilfordi (Lilford's wall lizard), 76 nucleotides. The record is from the annotation of a GenBank genome assembly. Lineage: Eukaryota; Metazoa; Chordata; Lepidosauria; Squamata; Lacertidae.
GCAUAUACGUAUACAUACAUAUAUAUAUAUAUAUAUACACAUACGCAUAUAUAUAUGUGUGUGUGUGUGUGUAUGC